AUUGAACGCUGGCGGCAGGCCUAACACAUGCAAGUCGAGCGGUAGCACGGGGAGCUUGCUCCUGGGUGACGAGCGGCGGACGGGUGAGUAAUGUCUGGGAAACUGCCUGAUGGAGGGGGAUAACUACUGGAAACGGUAGCUAAUACCGCAUAACGUCGCAAGACCAAAGAGGGGGACCUUCGGGCCUCUUGCCAUCAGAUGUGCCCAGAUGGGAUUAGCUAGUAGGUGGGGUAACGGCUCACCUAGGCGACGAUCCCUAGCUGGUCUGAGAGGAGGACCAGCCACACUGGAACUGAGACACGGUCCAGACUCCUACGGGAGGCAGCAGUGGGGAAUAUUGCACAAUGGGCGCAAGCCUGAUGCAGCCAUGCCGCGUGUAUGAAGAAGGCCUUCGGGUUGUAAAGUACUUUCAGCGGGGAGGAAGGUGUUGAGGUUAAUAACCUCAGCAAUUGACGUUACCCGCAGAAGAAGCACCGGCUAACUCCGUGCCAGCAGCCGCCGUAA
Molecule: ribosomal RNA, 504 nt
Filed under: uncultured bacterium
Lineage: Bacteria
Description: partial 16S ribosomal RNA
Rfam family: Bacterial small subunit ribosomal RNA
Source: RNAcentral